CAGCAGCCGCGGGAAUACGUAGGGAGCGAGCGUUGUCCGGAUUUAUUGGGCGUAAAGAGCUCGUAGGCGGCUUGGUAAGUCGGAUGUGAAACCUCCAGGCUCAACCUGGAGACGCCAUCCGAUACUGCUAUGGCUUGAGUCCGGUAGGGGCCCACGGAAUUCCUGGUGUAGCGGUGGAAUGCGCAGAUAUCAGGAGGAACACCGGUGGCGAAGGCGGUGGGCUGGGCCGGUACUGACGCUGAGGAGCGAAAGCGUGGGGAGCGAACAGGAUUAGAGACCCCUGUAGUCCCUGUCUCUUAUA
This 301-nucleotide ribosomal RNA is filed under the name uncultured bacterium. Its description in RNAcentral is "partial 16S ribosomal RNA". It matches the Rfam family "Bacterial small subunit ribosomal RNA", at positions 509 to 808 of the family's 1533-position model. The record is from RNAcentral.